AAUUUCUACGGGUGUCGUAUAUCAGAGGUAAACAAUAUUAGAUGUUUAUUUAUUUGUUUGGAGGUAUCAGUUUUCUAUGAAUGUACAACUGUUUGCUUUGUGCUUUAUUUAGACUUCUAAUUUAUAUCGAUAUUUAUGACAUGUGUUUACCUGUUUUGUAAGUCAAUCAAAAAGUUUGACUAGCAACUAAUGGUGCCUAUACAUGUAUUUAUGGAGCUUCUUCUGGUCAUAUGUGUAGUGGAUCUCUCCUCCUGUUGUUCCCUUCAAUCAUGUCCAAGGUCAAGAACCAUUCAGGUCAUAAACCCCUACGACAGGGGCCACGAGGGCUCAUCUUCGCCACUGCCCCUACUCCCACCUUCUGCAUGUCCUGCUCGGUGCUGUUCCAUUCCCUAGCGAUGUUCUCCGGCUAAAGACGCUUGGAGUUUGUGGUGUGGUGACACUUAAUGAAUCAUACGAGAGGCUUGUUCCCACAUCCCUAUACGAGGCUGCCAUUUGCAUUCAAUUUUGGUCAACAUUAUGAACUGACCAGAGAUUGAUAGUGAUAGUGUUGGAUCACGAUUGCAGG
Long non-coding RNA from Zea mays, 565 nucleotides. RefSeq lists it as uncharacterized. NCBI's taxonomy places the organism in Eukaryota, Viridiplantae, Streptophyta, Magnoliopsida, Poales, Poaceae. The record is from RefSeq and is a predicted model, not a curated record. The transcript has 4 exons.